This 67-nucleotide transfer RNA is filed under the name Marmota monax (woodchuck). RNAcentral's name for it is "tRNA.Thr". The record is from RNAcentral. Lineage: Eukaryota; Metazoa; Chordata; Mammalia; Rodentia; Sciuridae.
GGUUAUGGCUAAACGGUAGUGCACUUGCCUGGUGUGCAUGAGGCACUGGGUUCAAGUCUCAGCACCA